RNAcentral lists this long non-coding RNA (499 nucleotides) under Nicotiana benthamiana. Its description in RNAcentral is "long non-coding RNA (NBEN_LNC029406)". The record is from RNAcentral. Lineage: Eukaryota; Viridiplantae; Streptophyta; Magnoliopsida; Solanales; Solanaceae.
CGAGACAGUGAAUAUAAUGAAAUACAUGAAAUAUAGCGAGAUACACCGAAAUACAAUGAAAAAAAGACAAUGAAUAUGCUGAAAUACAUGGAAAUACAACGAGAUAUAUUGAAAUACACUUAAAAAGAUAAUAGAAUCUUCGAGUUGCUCAGCCCCAAACUCCGUCUUCUUUGUUCAAGAACAACCCUAAUGUCGUCUCAUCGAGAGAGCCACGAUUUUGACUCGACAGUACCAACAAGUGGAAUCUGGCGAAAAUCAGGACACGAAAAACCGAACUCGGCAUCGAAAGUGCCGGCGGCGACGUCGAGGUCGGAGAGAAAACCCUCGUUCAUGAAACUUCCAGAAUCGCUAUCGAUCUGAGAAGAAUCUAGAAGGAAGUUAUGUUAGGGUUUAUGAAAUCAUUGUCCCUGUUGCUACUCGCCAUUACUGAGUGGACUGAGGGAGUAUUAAUGGUGUGUUUCAACUUUUAAUUAACUUUGACCUAUGGGAUACUGAAAUG